UAGGGAGAGAGAGUUCUAAAAGGGAACCAUGGAGAAGGUGGAGGCGUUGCAAAUCACCCCUCUGCAACCAAUCUCAGGUGGAGAAGAAGCUAUACAACUCCGACGAGGCUCAAAUUUAGACCGAUUAACGCCGGCGAUCGUUUGAUUGAGCGUAAAUACUUCUCUGUUCAAAACUGGAGCACCAGUUGUACCAAUUACGCUUUUGGGAACUGGCAAUGUUAUGCCUACUGGGAUGGAAAGCACAUUGAAUUCGGGAACCGAGAAAGUUGUCAUUCACAAGCCUAUAGAUGGAACAAUCCGGAGAUAUUGUGUGAGAAGGCAAGAAAUACUAUAGCAGAUGUUCUCAUUCAUCAAAGCUGAGUUGUGCAUUGUGUAAUUUUUGUUUAGUUUUGCACAUCCCUAAUUUAUGGUGUAGAGGAGAAGGUUUAAUUUGAAAGGAAUAAAUUAAUUGCAACCGCUUUCUUCUC
Macadamia integrifolia is the source of this 467-nucleotide long non-coding RNA. RefSeq lists it as uncharacterized. The transcript is spliced from 2 exons. NCBI's taxonomy places the organism in Eukaryota, Viridiplantae, Streptophyta, Magnoliopsida, Proteales, Proteaceae. The record is from RefSeq and is a predicted model, not a curated record.